Molecule: non-coding RNA, 32 nt
Filed under: Robiginitalea biformata HTCC2501
Lineage: Bacteria; Pseudomonadati; Bacteroidota; Flavobacteriia; Flavobacteriales; Flavobacteriaceae
Source: RNAcentral
GGGGUGCAACUGAAAAACCUUACGAGUAGGAC